This 383-nucleotide long non-coding RNA is filed under the name Nicotiana benthamiana. RNAcentral describes it as "long non-coding RNA (NBEN_LNC040943)". The record is from RNAcentral. Lineage: Eukaryota; Viridiplantae; Streptophyta; Magnoliopsida; Solanales; Solanaceae.
AUAUUUUCAGUUUUUUCUCUCUCUUCUCUCUCUUCUCGACUGUUCUUCUUCUUCUUCUUCAAUUUCCUUUCAAUCGGAUGAGAUAAAAUGUUAACAUGGUAUCAGAGCGGGUAUAUUCUGGUUCUCCUUGUCAUCAGCGUUCGAUCGAUGUUAUCCUCACCGAUUUCCAUCCAUGUUUCUGCUGAUUCUCAGAAUCUAGGGUUUUCUAUUCGGUUAGUCUUCGAUGAACCGCUCGUUUUUUGAACUUGUUACCUACUGUGUAAACAUCAUAGGUUGUAUAUCUGUGGAGUAUUGUUGUUGAACUUGUUAGAUUUUGUGAUAGAAAUUUUGUUGUAGUCACGGUCUGUUAUUUUUUGUUGAGUUUAAACAUCAUCAGUACUUAA